GACCACAGUUAAUAAGGUGGGCGGAGACAAGAAGACCACAGUUAAUAAGGUGGGCGGAGACAAGAAGACCACAGUUAAUAAGGUGGGCGGAGACAAGAAGACCACAGUUAAUAAGGUGGGCGGAGACAAGAAGACCACAGUUAAUACGGUGGGUGGAGACAAGAAGACCACAGUUAAUAAGGUGGGCGGAGACAAGAAGACCACAGUUAAUAAGGUGGGCGGAGACAAGAAGACCACAGUUAAUAAGGUGGGCGGAGACAAGAAGACCACAGUUAAUAAGGUGGGCGGAGACAAGAAGACCACAGUUAAUAAGG
Long non-coding RNA from Austrofundulus limnaeus, 314 nucleotides. RefSeq lists it as uncharacterized. The transcript is spliced from 3 exons. NCBI's taxonomy places the organism in Eukaryota, Metazoa, Chordata, Actinopteri, Cyprinodontiformes, Rivulidae. The record is from RefSeq and is a predicted model, not a curated record.